RNAcentral lists this ribosomal RNA (392 nucleotides) under uncultured bacterium. RNAcentral's name for it is "partial 16S ribosomal RNA". It matches the Rfam family "Bacterial small subunit ribosomal RNA", at positions 523 to 918 of the family's 1533-position model. The record is from RNAcentral.
AUACGGAGGAUCCGAGCGUUAUCCGGAUUUAUUGGGUUUAAAGGGUGCGCAGGCGGCCAUUUAAGUCAGCGGUUAAAUCGUGGGGCUCAACCCCAUUCUGCCGAUGAUACUGGGUGGCUUGAUUGCGGUCGAGGUUGGCGGAAUUCGUUGUGUAGCGGGGAAAUGCAUAGAUAUGACGAAGAACACCGAUUGCGUAGGCAGCUGACCAGAUCGCAAAUGACGCUCAUGCACGAAAGUGCGGGGAUCGAACAGGAUUAGAUACCCUGGUAGUCCGCACAGUAAACGAUGAAUACUUGUUUUCGGCGAUAUAAUGUCGGAGGCAAAGCGAAAGCGAUAAGUAUUCCACCUGGGGAGUACGCCGGCAACGGUGAAACUCAAAGGAAUUGGCGGGG